CCGGGUAGAGUUGAGGGUCGUUGCCAGGGGGGGGCUUACCAUGCAGUCGAGCGGGGGAAGGUAGCUUGCUACCGGACCUAGCGGCGGACGGGUGAGUAAUGCUUAGGAAUCUGCCUAUUAGUGGGGGACAACAUCUCGAAAGGGAUGCUAAUACCGCAUACGUCCUACGGGAGAAAGCAGGGGAUCUUCGGACCUUGCGCUAAUAGAUGAGCCUAAGUCGGAUUAGCUAGUUGGUGGGGUAAAGGCCUACCAAGGCGACGAUCUGUAGCGGGUCUGAGAGGAUGAUCCGCCACACUGGGACUGAGACACGGCCCAGACUCCUACGGGAGGCAGCAGUGGGGAAUAUUGGACAAUGGGGGGAACCCUGAUCCAGCCAUGCCGCGUGUGUGAAGAAGGCCUUAUGGUUGUAAAGCACUUUAAGCGAGGAGGAGGCUACUUUAGUUAAUACCUAGAGAUAGUGGACGUUACUCGCAGAAUAAGCACCGGCUAACUCUGUGCCAGCAGCCGCGGUAAUACAGAGGGUGCGAGCGUUAAUCGGAUUUACUGGGCGUAAAGCGUGCGUAGGCGGCUUAUUAAGUCGGAUGUGAAAUCCCCGAGCUUAACUUGGGAAUUGCAUUCGAUACUGGUGAGCUAGAGUAUGGGAGAGGAUGGUAGAAUUCCAGGUGUAGCGGUGAAUUGGCGUAGAAUGUAG
Molecule: ribosomal RNA, 691 nt
Filed under: Acinetobacter baumannii
Lineage: Bacteria; Pseudomonadati; Pseudomonadota; Gammaproteobacteria; Moraxellales; Moraxellaceae
Description: bacterial SSU rRNA
Rfam family: Bacterial small subunit ribosomal RNA
Source: RNAcentral